This 65-nucleotide transfer RNA is filed under the name Unio delphinus. Its description in RNAcentral is "tRNA-Phe". It matches the Rfam family "tRNA". Rfam says of the family: Transfer RNA (tRNA) molecules are approximately 80 nucleotides in length. Their secondary structure includes four short double-helical elements and three loops (D, anti-codon, and T loops). The record is from RNAcentral. Lineage: Eukaryota; Metazoa; Mollusca; Bivalvia; Unionida; Unionidae.
GGAAGAAUAGUUUAACUUUACAAAACAUAACACUGAAAAUGUUAAAAUGACUCGGUCUUAUUCCA